AGCUGUAGUCAUGCAGAAAUAAGGCGAAACCGCGAAUGGCUCAUUAAAUCAGUUAUGGUUCCUUAGAUCGUUUCUUCCUACUUGGAUAACUGUGGCAAUUCUAGAGCUAAUACAUGCAGUGAGCCUGGAACCCUUUGGGUUUACGGGUGCUUUUAUUAGACCAAGAUCGAUCGGGUUUCGGCCCGUAUUGUGUGGUGACUCUGGAUAACUUUGUGCUGAUCGCAUGGCCAUGAGCCGGCGACGUUUCUUUCAAGUGUCUGCCUUAUCAACUUUCGAUGGUAGGUUACUUGCUUACCAUGGUUGUUACGGGUAACGGAGAAUCAGGGUUCGAUUCCGGAGAGGGAGCCUGAGAAACGGCUACCACAUCCAAGGAAGGCAGCAGGCGCGCAAAUUACCCACUCCCGGCACGGGGAGGUAGUGACGAAAAAUAACAAUACGGGACUCUUUUGAGGCCCCGUAAUUGAAAUGAGUACACUCUAAAUCCUUUAACGAGGAUCAAUUGGAGGGCAAGUCUGGUCCCAGCAGCCA
RNAcentral lists this ribosomal RNA (528 nucleotides) under Hyalomma rufipes. RNAcentral describes it as "SSU rRNA". It matches the Rfam family "Eukaryotic small subunit ribosomal RNA", at positions 56 to 576 of the family's 1831-position model. The record is from RNAcentral. Lineage: Eukaryota; Metazoa; Arthropoda; Arachnida; Ixodida; Ixodidae.